Molecule: long non-coding RNA, 264 nt
Organism: Ruditapes philippinarum (Manila clam)
Lineage: Eukaryota; Metazoa; Mollusca; Bivalvia; Venerida; Veneridae
Exons: 3
Source: RefSeq, a predicted model, not a curated record
UUCAGGCUGUGACAAGAAAGAAGUUUGAAUAUGCUGAAGACUUCAGGAAAUCUCUAGGAAAUGGUGUCCUGUUGUGCGAAUUAUUGAAUGGUUUGAAGGCAGGCAGUGUGAAGAGAAUUAACAAACUUCCUGGGCCUAUUGCCGGACUGGACAACAUAAAUGUGUUCCUAAUUGCAUGUGAGAAGAACUUUGGCCUGAAUAAGACUCAAUUAUUUGACCCCAAUGACCUUGAGGACUUGACCAACAGAGCCAUUUCUGAUGAGU